CACUUCUCCUCUCACCUUCCCUGCAUUACCCUCAUUAACUCUGCCCUGCUCCUAGUGUCUUCCCCAGCCUAUUGGCUCCCAGACUGCCCUUGUGUUAUGCCACCUGUUCCUUGUUGUCUGAUUAGUUCAGUUUGCAUUUAAAUUCAGUUCAGUCUUUGUUGAGUCGUCUGUUCAGUUUGCUCAGUGUCUGUGCUGCCUGCUUAGUUGGUUUUUUGUAUUCAGUUCUCUCAGCUCAACCAGCUUUUGUUUUUUUGCCUGCAAGUCUUGAAAUGAAGACGGUUUUUUUCAGCCCUGCUUUCCGGUCUCUGCAUUCGGGUCCACUUGCUCCUUAAUAGGUGCGGUCAGAAGUGUUGUCAUAAGGUCCUGGAGUAUACCUGUACGUCAUUGCAGCAUGGUGAGAAGUGAAACCACUGAAGAUUCCAGUCACCUGCAAGUCUCCAACUGGGGAAGGGGACUGUGUUCCAGUCUAGCAAGUUAGGAAACAAAGACCCUACCAGAGGAGCCAACCACUGUUUUCCCAGACUUUAGAUUUUAGCGUGGGGGGACUGAGUGGUAGAGUAGCCAUCUUGCAUGUGUGCUUUGUGUGGUUUGAGUCACCUUACCUUGCUGUGAGUAGGCAAAUUUGAGUGUUGUAGAACAGUUUUAAUUUGGUUCGGAUUGGAUUGUGUGUAGUGGUUUAUUCAUAAUUUGCCUACAUAUUUUGUGACCAUUUCUUCUUUUUACACAUAACUCUACACUAACCUCCCUGAUAGUGCAGUCUAGCCCCACAUUGUUUAUUUUCUUCGCUUGUUCAUUUAUUGUUUUUGAUUUAUGUAUUAAUUGUACAAUUUACUAUAUCCCUCCUUUAUUAUGGCCUGCAUUUAGGCCUUCUAUUGAAACUGCCUUGCUGCUACUUAGUUGAAUGGAGACAAG
Molecule: long non-coding RNA, 912 nt
Organism: Thunnus maccoyii (southern bluefin tuna)
Lineage: Eukaryota; Metazoa; Chordata; Actinopteri; Scombriformes; Scombridae
Exons: 4
Source: RefSeq, a predicted model, not a curated record